RNAcentral lists this ribosomal RNA (459 nucleotides) under uncultured bacterium. RNAcentral's name for it is "partial 16S ribosomal RNA". It matches the Rfam family "Bacterial small subunit ribosomal RNA", at positions 338 to 795 of the family's 1533-position model. The record is from RNAcentral.
CCUACGGGCGGCAGCAGUGAGGAAUAUUGGUCAAUGGGCGGAAGCCUGAACCAGCCAAGUAGCGUGCGGGAUGAAGGCCCUACGGGUCGUAAACCGCUUUUGCACGGGGAUAGCACCCUCCACUUGUGGAGGUCUGCAGGUACCGUGCGAAUAAGGGCCGGCUAAUUCCGUGCCAGCAGCCGCGGUAAUACGGAAGGCCCGAGCGUUAUCCGGAUUCAUUGGGCUUAAAGGGAGCGUAGGCGGGCGUUCAAGUCAGCUGUAAAAUCGCGCGGCUCAACCGCGCCCCGCAGUUGAAACUGGACGCAUUGAGUUCACAACAGGCAGGCGGAAUUCGUGGUGUAGCGGUGAAAUGCAUAGAUAUCACGAGGAACCCCGAUUGCGAAGGCAGCCUGCCGGGGUGCGACUGACGCUGAGGCUCGAAGGUGCGGGUAUCAAACAGGAUUAGAUACCCCAGUAGUC